UACAGAGGUCUCAAGCGUUGUUCGGAUUCAUUGGGCGUAAAGGGUGCGUAGGUGGCGCUGUAAGUCGGGUGUGAAAUUUCGGAGCUUAACUCCGAAACUGCAUUCGAUACUGCGGUGCUUGAGGACUGGAGAGGAGACUGGAAUUCAUGGUGUAGCAGUGAAAUGCGUAGAGAUCAUGAGGAAGACCAGUGGCGAAGGCGGGUCUCUGGACAGUUCCUGACACUGAGACACGAGGGCCAGGGGAGCAAACGGG
RNAcentral lists this ribosomal RNA (253 nucleotides) under uncultured bacterium. Its description in RNAcentral is "partial 16S ribosomal RNA". It matches the Rfam family "Bacterial small subunit ribosomal RNA", at positions 524 to 776 of the family's 1533-position model. The record is from RNAcentral.